Molecule: long non-coding RNA, 621 nt
Organism: Eptesicus fuscus (big brown bat)
Lineage: Eukaryota; Metazoa; Chordata; Mammalia; Chiroptera; Vespertilionidae
Exons: 5
Source: RefSeq, a predicted model, not a curated record
CUCAGUGUGCCCGUGGAGAAGUUAAACAAAAAUUAUGCUAAGUGUUGAGGAUUCACCAUGUUCGAGGCACUGGAAUCCUGGGAAUCCUGUACCAGUUGUAAUAUUUUGAUUGAUCAGAAGAGGGCGCGUUGAUUCAACACAAUUGUAUACACACACUGGCAGCUUGCUUCAUUUAGCCUGGCAAAGGUCAAGCAUGCUUGAAGGAAACGUGGAGGAAUUACUAGCAAAGAAAAUCAUCCCGUCACUCAAAACUAAGCAUGGACAGCACGGGGAACACGGGGACAAAGACUGUGAGAGACUGCAAACUGAAAACAGUCUACAAAAUAAUAGAUACCAAAUAACUUGUGGUUUUGAGGAUUCCAUGAGAUGCAACAUAAAUUCUGAGGGAGACUGCUUGUCCUUGGAAGUCUCAUUGAAGCAAGUCAGAACUACCUGCUUCUCUUAAAUCUGGGCUCCCAGCAGAAAAUGAACCAUGAAUACACAGAACUAGACAGCUAAGGAUCUCGGUAGGUAUUCAGGAAGGCAUCCCAGAACACCUUCCAAGCUAGCGCUGGUUCAAUGUGAAAACACUGUACUUCCUGUUACAUUAUUAUGAGGCUUUGAGAUUAAAAAAUAUCAGAA